UCCCUCUCAGGAUCGCACCUGGAGAGUUUCCAGGACUCUACCAGUCCUGGCUAUGGGACGGAGAGUCGAGCAGAGGCAUACCCAUUCCAUUCCUAGCUUGGGCAUUGGCUAGCGAGUGGAAGGCCAUCUGCUAAAAGU
Small nucleolar RNA from Ornithorhynchus anatinus (platypus), 138 nucleotides. The record is from RefSeq and is a predicted model, not a curated record. NCBI's taxonomy places the organism in Eukaryota, Metazoa, Chordata, Mammalia, Monotremata, Ornithorhynchidae.